Molecule: ribosomal RNA, 429 nt
Filed under: bacterium
Lineage: Bacteria
Description: partial 16S ribosomal RNA
Rfam family: Bacterial small subunit ribosomal RNA
Source: RNAcentral
UAGGGAAUCUUCGGCAAUGGGGGCAACCCUGACCGAGCAACGCCGCGUGAGUGAAGAAGGUUUUCGGAUCGUAAAGCUCUGUUGUAAGAGAAGAACGUGUGUGAGAGUGGAAAGUUCACACAGUGACGGUAACUUACCAGAAAGGGACGGCUAACUACGUGCCAGCAGCCGCGGUAAUACGUAGGUCCCGAGCGUUGUCCGGAUUUAUUGGGCGUAAAGCGAGCGCAGGCGGUUUAAUAAGUCUGAGGUUAAAGGCAGUGGCUUAACCAUUGUUCGCUUUGGAAACUGUUAAACUUGAGUGCAGAAGGGGAGAGUGGAAUUCCAUGUGUAGCGGUGAAAUGCGUAGAAAUAUGGAGGAAAACCGGUGGCGAAAGCGGCUCUCUGGUCUGUAACUGACGCUGAGGCUCGAAAGCGUGGGGAGCAAACAGG